AUUGAACGCUGGCGGCAUGCUUUACACAUGCAAGUCGAACGGUAACAGGCCGCAAGGUGCUGACGAGUGGCGAACGGGUGAGUAAUGCAUCGGAACGUGCCCAGUCGUGGGGGAUAACGCAGCGAAAGCUGCGCUAAUACCGCAUACGAUCUAUGGAUGAAAGCGGGGGACCGUAAGGCCUCGCGCGAUUGGAGCGGCCGAUGUCAGAUUAGGUAGUUGGUGGGGUAAAGGCUCACCAAGCCGACGAUCUGUAGCUGGUCUGAGAGGACGACCAGCCACACUGGGACUGAGACACGGCCCAGACUCCUACGGGAGGCAGCAGUGGGGAAUUUUGGACAAUGGGCGCAAGCCUGAUCCAGCAAUGCCGCGUGCAGGAAGAAGGCCUUCGGGUUGUAAACUGCUUUUGUACGGAACGAAAAGACUCUCUCUAAUACAGGGGUGAAGUGACGGUACCGUAAGAAUAAGCACGGCUAACUACGUGCCAGCACG
Molecule: ribosomal RNA, 489 nt
Filed under: uncultured bacterium
Lineage: Bacteria
Description: bacterial SSU rRNA
Rfam family: Bacterial small subunit ribosomal RNA
Source: RNAcentral